Molecule: long non-coding RNA, 1400 nt
Filed under: Gouania willdenowi (blunt-snouted clingfish)
Lineage: Eukaryota; Metazoa; Chordata; Actinopteri; Blenniiformes; Gobiesocidae
Description: lncRNA (ENSGWIG00000005310.1)
Source: RNAcentral
AUGGAGAAAAGGUGCUGCUGCCUAUUGUAUGGGAUUACCGUGAAAAGGAGAAUGAAUCGCCAUGCAAUGCUGGCUGAGACCUCCAGCAUACUAAAGAAUUCUCACCACCUCAAUAGAAACCACAGAGGAUACCUGCUGCAAGCUUCGGUGCAUUUAUUAAUUCUUAAUGCAUUCAGUCCUUGUUGCUUCUCAAAGACAGAUUAAACCUGAGCCUUCUAGUCUUUUAUCCCUGACCCCAAGCAGACAAUGUCGGCGUGCUUAAUAUCAGUUUUCCUAAUGGAGUUCCCACUGGAGCGGUAAACAAAGGAUGGUUGAAUUGGAUAUUAAUUGUGUUCUAUCAGGGGUGAUUAUCAGAGAAGAUGCAUGCAGAUGUUUGCCUCUAUGUCCUCAUUGUGUUUGUGUAUCUAGUGAAUCUAAUUUUAGGCUUGGAGAAUAUCUAAGCAUAUGAUUACAGUCAUUCCUUUCAGUGAGACGCGGACACAAUGGCUCCUGCAGGUUGAUUGAAAUAUAAUACAAAGACACAGAGUAGCCAUUAAUUCUCAAACACAAUGUGCAUUGAGACACCUGGAGUUCAAACUCAUUUUAAGGAUCUGCUCCUCUGGGAUUUGAAGGGAAUGUCAAGUAAAAGUAAACAAGGUGCUUUGCAUAUUAUUUGUGGUUUGCUUUUCAGGAACCAAUGUCAGCCAUUUUCAUGGUGUCGGUGGACCUGACAACUGUUUCAGACCUAUUAAAUGAGCGUGUUCAAGAGGAGUGUAUGAGUAUCAUUAAUAAGAGUAAAUAGAAAACAACACUCAAUCCAUCCAUCGUACAACCUGCUAACUGAAGCAUAUAGUUCGGUCAACUCUGCUAUACAUCCAUAUAUUCCAUAUAUUCAUUUAGUUUGUAAAUGUUUUCCAUCAUUGUGCUUGGCAUAUAUUUGUACAUCCAAGUGUUGUGCUUGUUGUAAAUGUGUUGUUUUUACAAAAUCCAAGAUUUGAUUUAAAUUAGUUCACUCGUGUCAUAAAGUCAUCAUCAAAAUGUUUCAGAUCCAUAUAGAUAAAGGUUUUGUCCGAAAUAGAAAGUGAAACGUGUAUCUACUAAAGAUGGGAUGAUAUCAUGUGAUGAUAUAUUAUGAUAUUAAAACAUCACAAAGGGAGUAUCGUGGCGGGAUUGUUAGGGGGAAGAAGAAAACAUGUCCAUAUCUUAAUUCUGGGCUGUGUAGACUGUCCAAGUUUGGUGUUUAAAAAAAAAAACUAAAUUUCAUCCACAUAUCGAAAUAUUUUUUUUUGAAGAAUGUCACGAUGACAUGAUGUAGCUUUAAUUUUUGAAUGGCAUUAAGUGUCAUUCUCUGUCGUUGGGUUCUAUUUGCAGAGUGAUACUUUUUGCAAUAAAUAGGGAAAAAAAAUGUGUUAUUGUUUAAC